GACGAACGCUGGCGGCGUGCUUAACACAUGCAAGUCGAGCGGUAAGGCCCUUUCGGGGGUACACGAGCGGCGAACGGGUGAGUAACACGUGGUGACCUGCCUCUAGCUCUGGGAUAAGCCCGGGAAACUGGGUCUAAUACUGGAUAUGACCCCAUGACGCAUGUUGUGGGGUGGAAAGCCUUGUGCGGCUGAGGAUGGGCCCGCGGCCUAUCAGCUUGUUGGUGGGGUGAUGGCCUACCAAGGCGACGACGGGUAGCCGGCCUGAGAGGGCGACCGGCCACACUGGGACUGAGACACGGCCCAGACUCCUACGGGAGGCAGCAGUGGGGAAUCUUGCGCAAUGGGCGAAAGCCUGACGCAGCGACGCCGCGUGAGGGAUGACGGCCUCGGUU
Molecule: ribosomal RNA, 392 nt
Filed under: uncultured bacterium
Lineage: Bacteria
Description: bacterial SSU rRNA
Rfam family: Bacterial small subunit ribosomal RNA
Source: RNAcentral